GACGAACGCUGGCGGCGCGCCUAACACAUGCAAGUCGAGCGAGAACCAGGGCUUCGGCUCUGGGGACAGCGGCGAACGGGUGAGUAACACGUGGAUAACCUGCCCUCGGCACCGGAAUAGCCCGGGGAAACCCGGAUUAAUGCCGGAUAGCCCCACAUCCCUGCGGGGAACGUGGGAAAAGGUAGCUUCGGCCUCUGGCCGAGGAGGGGUCCGCGGUGGAUUAGCUUGUUGGCGGGGUAACGGCCCACCAAGGCGACGAUCCAUAGCUGGUCUGAGAGGACGAUCAGCCACACUGGGACUGAGACACGGCCCAGACUCCUACGGGAGGCAGCAGUGGGGAAUCUUGCGCAAUGGGCGAAAGCCUGACGCAGCGACGCCGCGUGCGGGAAGAAGGCCUUAGGGUUGUAAACCGCCUUCAGGAGGGACGAAGCCACUCGGGUUAAUAGCCCAGAGGGUGACGGUACCUCCAGAAGAAGCCCCGGCUAACUACAUGCCAGCCGCCGCCGUAA
RNAcentral lists this ribosomal RNA (509 nucleotides) under uncultured bacterium. Its description in RNAcentral is "partial 16S ribosomal RNA". It matches the Rfam family "Bacterial small subunit ribosomal RNA", at positions 28 to 523 of the family's 1533-position model. The record is from RNAcentral.